This is a long non-coding RNA of Arabidopsis lyrata subsp. lyrata, 624 nucleotides long. RefSeq lists it as uncharacterized. The transcript is spliced from 3 exons. Lineage: Eukaryota; Viridiplantae; Streptophyta; Magnoliopsida; Brassicales; Brassicaceae. The record is from RefSeq and is a predicted model, not a curated record.
UUAUUGAGUUGUGUUUUUUUUUUUUUUUUGCGUUUUUCAUCUCUGUCGAGAGAGAGACUUUUGUCGACAAAAAUGAGGGUGUGCGAUCUCUUUGAUUCCGGUGGUUCCGUCGAACUAGGAUUACGGUAAUGCAAAAUCCGUCUAUGAUCCGUUGUUAUCAUCAGGGUUCUUAAAGUUGGGAUUACGGUAAUGCAAAAUUAGGGUUCUUAGAAUUGGGAUUAGGGUAAUGUAAAAUUAGAAUUCUAUGAUCCGUUUGAUGUGUAGAACAGUAAGAAUUGAUGUGGUCAGAUUGAGAAUUGGUAAUUGAUCUGUUUGAGAAACUGGUAAUUGAUCUCUCAGACUUCUUCUUCUUCAUCUCAAGAGAAAUGACUGAAUCCAAGGUAGUGGUUCCAGAUGUCUGUGAUGGAUACUCAAUAUCUGCUUCAACACCAUCAAUGUCCAAUGUUGGGCAAGUUUCUUCUUUCAACCAACACCUCUCUGUGUGUGUAUAGAUUCAUGAAACAUUGUCAUAGAUGUUCAUGUUUUGCAAGUAAUACAAAAAUUUGAAUUUUUUUUUCUUAAGAACCAAUUGGUUCUUAACCAUUAGAAGACUAAUUUAUUAAGAUACUCUCAUUUCAUUCUUAA